Molecule: ribosomal RNA, 497 nt
Filed under: uncultured bacterium
Lineage: Bacteria
Description: partial 16S ribosomal RNA
Rfam family: Bacterial small subunit ribosomal RNA
Source: RNAcentral
GAUGAACGCUGGCGGCGUGACUAAUACAUGCAAGUCGAGCGAACGGACGAGAAGCUUGCUUCUCUGAUGUUAGCGGCGGACGGGUGAGUAACACGUGGAUAACCUACCUAUAAGACUGGGAUAACUUCGGGAAACCGGAGCUAAUACCGGAUAAUAUUUUGAACCGCAUGGUUCAAAAGUGAAAGACGGUCUUGCUGUCACUUAUAGAUGGAUCCGCGCUGCAUUAGCUAGUUGGUAAGGUAACGGCUUACCAAGGCAACGAUGCAUAGCCGACCUGAGAGGGUGAUCGGCCACACUGGAACUGAGACACGGUCCAGACUCCUACGGGAGGCAGCAGUAGGGAAUCUUCCGCAAAGGGCGAAAGCCUGACGGAGCAACGCCGCGUGAGUGAUGAAGGUCUUCGGAUCGUAAAACUCUGUUAUUAGGGAAGAACAUAUGUGUAAGUAACUGUGCACAUCUUGACGGUACCUAAUCAGAAAGCCACGGCUAACUACGUG